Molecule: long non-coding RNA, 1352 nt
Filed under: Malus domestica (apple)
Lineage: Eukaryota; Viridiplantae; Streptophyta; Magnoliopsida; Rosales; Rosaceae
Description: long non-coding RNA (MDOM_LNC006928)
Source: RNAcentral
UUAUUUUAUAUGUAUAACAAUUAAGAAAUUGAAUGGUAUGUAUGGUUAAGCCGAUCUAAUGGUCACCAAUUUUUAAUUUUUAAUUUAGUAUAUAUAUGUAUAUAAUUAUUAUAGUUUUUAGGGGUAUAAAAUUGUUAAAUUAAUAUAUAUAAUUAUUAUAAUAUUUUUUAAGGGUUAUAAAAUUAUUAAAUUAAUAUUUUGCUUAUCGUGUAUCGUGUUACCCACGUGUAUACCCGAACCAACCCGUUAUUUUAACAGGUGCUUAUAGGGUUACCCGAUAACAACCCGAUUUGUUAUCGUGUCUACUCGAACACCUGUUAAUUUCGUGUCGUGUCGUGUCAGGUUAUCGGAUCCUGUCAGGAAUUGCCAGGCCUAGGGGCGGUUAUGAAUAACAACUGUUCAAGAAAAAUUGAGUUGGAAAUAAAUCCAAACUUAUGCAAUAUUGCUUUACAAAGGGAAAAUCGUGGAGGUUAUUUUUUACAUAUGAAUACUAACCUGCAAUUUUGAGUGUGACAAACCUUGUUAUGCUGAAUCUCGUGACAACGUAGAAAAUAUUCCAAAAUAAUGACACAAAAGAAUAUAUGAUAAAAAACCGAGAAAAUAGAAACGAAAAUACCACUCAAGCACCCAAUGGCAUUGUGAUUCUUUGUAUCCUCUUGAAAUGAAAUGGGUUAGAGCCUCAUCACAUCUUUAUGCUGCAAUUCAAAAAAGCAUGAUCAAAUCUCGAAAUUGAUUAGUAAUAGAAGAAUCUAAUGGAUACUGGAGGAAAAAAAAAGAAAAAGAAAAAGAAAAAAGCCUGAAAGGAAAAGAAAAACAAAAAUAAUAUUUGAAUGCUUGAGAUGAUUGAAUAAGUAAUGGAGGAAGAAAUGGAGCGUAUGGAAGAAAAUGAAUGUUUUACGCUGGCCAAGGUUUUGAGGGAGGAGUGGAGUUUGAUUCAAACUGCAACGGGCUAUUUUGAAAGUGUAGGAACGUGUUGCAACAGUUGUGAAAGAGUGGGAAUGUGUUGCAGUGUGUUUCAGACUAUAACUCAGCUCAACUUGAUAACUGUUUUUUAUCAAACUACCCUUUGGGAUGAUGAAUCAGUUUUUCACGUCAGUUUUGGUCUCUUUACCAGUUUGUCCUCAUUUUCCUUUUUUUUUCUUUUUUCUUUUUUUUGUGUGUGUGUGUUUGAUUGUGAAAGAAACAAAGGGGCAUUUUAGGGGUUUAGAAUGCUUCACUUAUUUGGGCUUAUCACUUUAUACAUACAAAGUGGUUCGGUAUGAGAUUUCAAGCCAAAAAUGGGAUCCCGAAUCCUCAACAACAACAACAAAGCAUUUUCCCAUUAAGUGGGGUCGGCUAUAUGAAUCCUAGAA